CCUACGGGGUGCAGCAGUGAGGAAUAUUGGUCAAUGGACGAGAGUCUGAACCAGCCAAGUAGCGUGAAGGAUGACUGCCCUAUGGGUUGUAAACUUCUUUUAUAUGGGAAUAAAAUGUUCCACGUGUGGGAUUUUGUAUGUACCAUAUGAAUAAGGAUCGGCUAACUCCGUGCCAGCAGCCGCGGUAAUACGGAGGAUCCGAGCGUUAUCCGGAUUUAUUGGGUUUAAAGGGAGCGUAGGUGGAUUGUUAAGUCAGUUGUGAAAGUUUGCGGCUCAACCGUAAAAUUGCAGUUGAAACUGGCAGUCUUGAGUACAGUAGAGGUGGGCGGAAUUCGUGGUGGAGCGGUGAAAUGCUUAGAUAUCAUGAAGAACUCCGAUUGCGAAGGCAGUUCACUGGACUGCAACUGACACUGAGGCUCGAAAGUGUGGGUAUCAAACAGGAUUAGAUACCCCGGUAGUC
RNAcentral lists this ribosomal RNA (460 nucleotides) under uncultured bacterium. Its description in RNAcentral is "partial 16S ribosomal RNA". It matches the Rfam family "Bacterial small subunit ribosomal RNA", at positions 338 to 795 of the family's 1533-position model. The record is from RNAcentral.